CCUACGGGAGGCAGCAGUGGGGAAUAUUGCACAAUGGGGGAAACCCUGAUGCAGCGACGCCGCGUGAGUGAAGAAGUAUUUCGGUAUGUAAAGCUCUAUCAGCAGGGAAGAAAAUGACGGUACCUGACUAAGAAGCCCCGGCUAACUACGUGCCAGCAGCCGCGGUAAUACGUAGGGGGCAAGCGUUAUCCGGAUUUACUGGGUGUAAAGGGAGCGUAGACGGAAGUGCAAGUCUGGUGUGAAAUUCCGUGGCCUAACCCCGGAACUGCAUUGGAAACUGUGUAUCUAGAGUGUAGGAGAGGUAAGUGGAAUUCCUGGUGUAGCGGUGAAAUGCGUAGAUAUUAGGAGGAACACCAGUGGCGAAGGCGGCUUGCUGGACUAUGACUGACGUUGAGGCUCGAAAGCGUGGGGAGCAAACAGGAUUAGAUACCCUGGUAGUC
Molecule: ribosomal RNA, 440 nt
Filed under: uncultured bacterium
Lineage: Bacteria
Description: partial 16S ribosomal RNA
Rfam family: Bacterial small subunit ribosomal RNA
Source: RNAcentral